Molecule: ribosomal RNA, 429 nt
Filed under: Chloroflexota bacterium
Lineage: Bacteria; Bacillati; Chloroflexota
Description: Chloroflexi bacterium partial 16S ribosomal RNA
Rfam family: Bacterial small subunit ribosomal RNA
Source: RNAcentral
UGGGGAAUAUUGCACAAUGGGCGCAAGCCUGAUGCAGCCAUGCCGCGUGUAUGAAGAAGGCCUUCGGGUUGUAAAGUACUUUCAGCGGGGAGGAAGGGAGUAAAGUUAAUACCUUUGCUCAUUGACGUUACCCGCAGAAGAAGCACCGGCUAACUCCGUGCCAGCAGCCGCGGUAAUACGGAGGGUGCAAGCGUUAAUCGGAAUUACUGGGCGUAAAGCGCACGCAGGCGGUUGAUUGAGUCAGAUGUGAAAUCCCCGGGCUUAACCCGGGAACUGCAUCUGAUACUGGUCAGCUAGAGUCUUGUAGAGGGGGGUAGAAUUCCAUGUGUAGCGGUGAAAUGCGUAGAGAUGUGGAGGAAUACCGGUGGCGAAGGCGGCCCCCUGGACAAAGACUGACGCUCAGGUGCGAAAGCGUGGGGAGCAAACAGG